GCUUCCGAACGUCCUUUGGGUUCUUGGUAGAGGGUUGUUAGGCAUAUAUAUUAGGGGAUUCGUUAAAAGAAUCCCAGUCCGCCUCAUAAUAGAAGCUACGCAAAGUCAAAGAGAAAGCAAGGAGAUAAAAAAAAUUUAAGCAAAAUUAUGAGAGCAUACUAAAGUUCACCAAGACAGGAAACUCGAUUUACAUCCUUAGCCUAAACUAUUUCUCUGAUCAAGGGUGUAAGUUGCGUUCCCUGCCUUGUUGAACUUCAGUAUGCCUUCAUAAGUUGCCUUCCUCCUUUUCUGCCUACUGUUUUCUCACCUCCAUGUUUACAUUCAUUCUAUCUUCUACCUCUCCCAAUUCGCUCAAGCAUCCUUUGAUCCCGCAACUUUUUGGAUCUAAAUCCAUUUCUUUCCACCACUUUUCGCGGCUUUACUAGAAGGUUUCAUUUGCUUUGUGGUUCAGAUUUGUGUGCUGCUUGUUCGAGGAUGAUGGAGCUUUCUCCUUGUUCGUUUCUGGGGCUUUCGGUGAUUGGAUUUCAAGCAUCUUCAAGAGGUGCGGGUUUGUGCGGGGUAGAUGGUUCUUGCUGGCCUUUUGCCCCAGUGGCAGCCGUUGAAAGCGUUUACAUAAUUUAUUGGGGAAAACCGUUGGUUUCGCUUUCUGCCCUACAACUGGUGGACUGAUAAGAUAGACGGUGGUAAUGGCUCCCACGGGGUAACCCAAGAUCGGCUUUUUCAUGCAUCAUAGACGAAGAAGGGAUCACUCGUGAUGAAACUGUUGAGAGUACAACCUCUCACAGCAACAAUGUACCAGAUUAGAUGUUUACUUAGCUAUUAAGCUUAGCAUGGUUAGUGAUUAGUUGUACAUUAUGCUUAGCUGGCACAUA
Molecule: long non-coding RNA, 872 nt
Organism: Pyrus x bretschneideri (Chinese white pear)
Lineage: Eukaryota; Viridiplantae; Streptophyta; Magnoliopsida; Rosales; Rosaceae
Exons: 3
Source: RefSeq, a predicted model, not a curated record